ACAGUUCUAGUAUGCGCUGAUGGUAAGCUAAGAGUGAUAACAUUUUUCUUUACUCCAUGACACAAGCAGUGUUUUAUUUAACAAUCAUCCAUGACAUAAACGUGCCUGAAGUUGAUUUUAAAAAUUACAGUAUUAGAUCAUAAGAUAAAAACCAGCAGCACAUUUUUAGUCACUGAAAAUGAAGGACUUGAUUCCCCCACAGGUCUCAGUGUUUUUAGUAAUUGAUUCUAUGCAUUUUAUAUAAAUAGAAAUAUAUAUAACACACGUUACAAAAAGGAGUGGACUGAGAUUAACUUAAAGACGAUUUACAGGCGACACGUCUGUGGAGUCAGUAAGUAACUGCUGCCCGCCACGGCCUCCUCAUGCGAGCUAAUGGCCUCACUUCUUGGAAAAGAUUCAGUGCUGGCGAUGGAUGGAUGUUUCAGAAUCACCAAGUCCACAGAUUGAUUAUGUCACAACAGGGAGAAAAGUGGCCUGUAAGCUGUGCUUACUGCCUAAGAAGAUGCUCUUUCUUUCUGCUUUUAAGUUCAUGAGUGGAGCAGCCUUGUUAAGUUGACUGUAGAGGGUGACAGUCAGCAUUUUCAUACCGCAGUAAUGCUUUCUAAAGGCAUGUCACUGUCGAGUGCACUGCUCUUAAUUCACUGCAAUCAUGGGCUUUUUAAUGUAUUUCAAAACUUAAGACUUCAAGAUCCCCCUGAAGUCUAAUUUUAGCAAAUUGGCAGAAGGAUCUGGAUUUUACCCCCUCUAAAACUAUUUUAAUAGUUUUAUUUUAAUGUUUUCUUAAAUAAAACACUGCAUGAUUUCCAAGUUGCAUAUUUGUGUGCUAAUUUUGCAAGUGAAUUUUUAAUCAGUUAUUUUGAUAUUUAGGUUUUUUCCUUCAGGGUAUUUAAUAUAUUACUCUAUUAGCAAAUCUUUUCAUUUUAAUAUCUCUACUGCUGAUUUUAAACUUGGCUUGUGUUCUGUAAAAGUUAAAUCAUACACUGCAAGGUGUAGGAAGAUUCAUUUUAAUGAUCCCAAUGACAGAUUCGAUGACUUAGUUUGAACUAUUAACUGUUGAACAGUUUUACUCGCGUGGCUUCUGUCUUGGUUUGAUUUGCUUUGACUUCUGUGCUACACUAGUUUGCCAUGUAGCAGUUGCACUGUGCAAUAUUACAAUAAGGACUGGGAAAACUUUUAUGGAUGUAAUGUCUAUUACAGUUUGCGAUAGUAUUUCUCUCUAGUUCUCAGUGAUUUAAAUGUGACCAAGCCUUCUGUACUUUGUCACAAAAAGCGGGUUUUCCAGGUGACUAUUUUGGUGAGUGUCAAAAUAAGAAUUUAUGGUGUAUUACUGUUGAUUCACUUUGAAUUAAAAUAUAUAUAUUGCAGC
RNAcentral lists this long non-coding RNA (1366 nucleotides) under Rattus norvegicus (Norway rat). RNAcentral's name for it is "long non-coding RNA NONRATT019525". Lineage: Eukaryota; Metazoa; Chordata; Mammalia; Rodentia; Muridae. The record is from RNAcentral.